This is a non-coding RNA of Podarcis lilfordi (Lilford's wall lizard), 71 nucleotides long. The record is from the annotation of a GenBank genome assembly. Lineage: Eukaryota; Metazoa; Chordata; Lepidosauria; Squamata; Lacertidae.
GUUGGCUCAAUACGCAGAGCAUGAGACUCUUAAUCUCAGGUCCAUGGGUUCAAACCCUACAUUGGGCAACA